Molecule: ribosomal RNA, 505 nt
Filed under: uncultured bacterium
Lineage: Bacteria
Description: partial 16S ribosomal RNA
Rfam family: Bacterial small subunit ribosomal RNA
Source: RNAcentral
GACGAACGCUGGCGGCGUGCCUAAUACAUGCCAGUAGAACGCACAGUUUAUACCGUAGCUUGCUACACCAUAAACUGUGAGUUGCGAACGGGUGAGUAACGCGUAGGUAACCUGCCUGGUAGCGGGGGAUAACUAUUGGAAACGAUAGCUAAUACCGCAUAAUAUUAAUUAUUGCAUGAUAAUUGAUUGAAAGAUGCAAUUGCAUCACUACCAGAUGGACCUGCGUUGUAUUAGCUAGUAGGUGAGGUAACGGCUCACCUAGGCGACGAUACAUAGCCGAACUGAGAGGGUGAUCGGCCACACUGGGACUGAGACACGGCCCAGACGCCUACGGGAGGCAGCAGGAGGGAAUCGUCGGCAAUGGACGAAAGGCUGACCGAGCAACGCCGCGUGAGUGAAGAAGGGUGUCGGAUCGUAAAGCUCUGUUGUAAGAGAAGAACGGGUGUGAGAGUGGAAAGUUCACACUGUGACGGUAUCUUACCAGAAAGGGACGGCUAACUACGUG